AACGAACGCUGGCGGCAUGCCUAACACAUGCAAGUCGAACGACACCUUCGGGACUACUGGCGCACACGUGCGUAACGCGUGGGAACCUGCCCUUAGGUUCGGAAUAACUCCCCUUCAGGGGUGCUAAUACCGGGUAAUGUACUCGAACAACAGAUUUAUCGAACUUGUAUGGGCCCGCGUUGGUUUGGCUUGGUGCUAGGGUAAAAGCCUACCAAGGCGUCGAUCCAUAGCUGGUCUGAGAGGCUGAUCAGCGACACUGGGUCGGGGACACGGCCCAGACUAUUACGGGAGGGGGGAGUGGGGAAUAUUGGACAAUGGGGUAGAGGAAGAUGCAGCUAGGCUGGGUGAGUGAUUAAGUCCGGAGGGUAGUAAAGCUCGUUUACCCGGGGUGAUAAUGACAGUACCGGGAGAAUAAGCUCCGGCUAACUCCGUG
RNAcentral lists this ribosomal RNA (433 nucleotides) under uncultured bacterium. Its description in RNAcentral is "partial 16S ribosomal RNA". It matches the Rfam family "Bacterial small subunit ribosomal RNA", at positions 29 to 507 of the family's 1533-position model. The record is from RNAcentral.